Molecule: non-coding RNA, 23 nt
Filed under: Arabidopsis thaliana (thale cress)
Lineage: Eukaryota; Viridiplantae; Streptophyta; Magnoliopsida; Brassicales; Brassicaceae
Source: RNAcentral
UAGUCCGCCCAUAUGCAUUUGGA